UUCGUCCAGGGGGCCGCCUUCGCCACCGGUAUUCCUCCAGAUCUCUACGCAUUUCACCGCUACACCUGGAAUUCUACCCCCCUCUACGAGACUCAAGCUUGCCAGUAUCAGAUGCAGUUCCCAGGUUGAGCCCGGGGAUUUCACAUCUGACUUAACAAACCGCCUGCGUGCGCUUUACGCCCAGUAAUUCCGAUUAACGCUUGCACCCUCCGUAUUACCGCGGCUGCUGGCACGGAGUUAGCCGGUGCUUCUUCUGCGGGUAACGUCAAUGAGUAAAGGUAUUAACUUUACUCCCUUCCUCCCCGCUGAAAGUACUUUACAACCCGAAGGCCUUCUUCAUACACGCGGCAUGGCUGCAUCAGGCUUGCGCCCAUUGUGCAAUAUUCCCCACUGCUGCCUCCCGUAGGAGUCUGGACCGUGUCUCAGUUCCAGUGUGGCUGGUCAUCCUCUCAGACCAGCUAGGGAUCGUCGCCUAGGUGAGCCGUUACCCCACCUACUAGCUAAUCCCAUCUGGGCACAUCCGAUGGCAAGAGGCCCGAAGGUCCCCCUCUUUGGUCUUGCGACGUUAUGCGGUAUUAGCUACCGUUUCCAGUAGUUAUCCCCCUCCAUCAGGCAGUUUCCCAGACAUUACUCACCCGUCCGCCACUCGUCAGCGAAGCAGCAAGCUGCUUCCUGUUACCGUUCGACUUGCAUGUGUUA
Molecule: ribosomal RNA, 699 nt
Filed under: Shigella sp.
Lineage: Bacteria; Pseudomonadati; Pseudomonadota; Gammaproteobacteria; Enterobacterales; Enterobacteriaceae
Description: partial 16S rRNA
Source: RNAcentral